AUAUAUUUCUCCAGACAAAAUUCUAGAUUGUAACUCUGGCACAAAUUUUGGCAAGUAUAUAUGAUUUUUUUAAAUGAUAAAAAAUGAGAAAAAAGAAUAGGAAGGAGAUUUAAGAUAUUACAAACCAAGAUGAAUGGAAAUUAUUUUUGUUCUUUACAUUUUUUGUAUUAUAGAUUGUUUGUUUAUUUUUAUCUUGAGUACCUUAACUUGUUUAUUUUUAUCUUGAGUACCUUAACAGCCCUGAUUGGCAAGUGAUAUAAACAGUGUCAUGAUCGGCUAGUUAUUUCAACAAGUGUCAUUAUUGACUAGUCAUUUAAACAGGUGUCAUGAUUGGCUAGUGAUUUCAAACAGGUGUCAUGAUUGGCUAGUGAUUUAAACAAGUGUCAUGAUUGGCUAGUGAUUUAAACAAGUGUCAUGAUUGGCUAGUGAUUUAAACAAGUGUCAUGAUUGGCUAGUGAUUUAAACAAGUGUCAUGAUUGGCAAGUGAUAUAAACAGUGUCAUGAUCGGCUAGUGAUUUAAACAAGUGUCAUGAUUGGCAAGUGAUAUAAACAGUGUCAUGAUCGGCUAGUUAUUUCAACAAGUGUCAUGAUUGACUAGUCAUUUAAACAGGUGUCAUGAUUGGCUAGUGAUUUCAAACAGGUGUCAUGAUUGACUAGUGAUUUAAACAAGUGUCAUGAUUGGCUAGUGAUUUAACAAGUGUUAUGAACAGAGAUUCAGUUAACUUUCCUACUUUUGGUAUCUAUGAUCUAGUUAAAAUUGCAAUUAUCUUAAAAUAACAAAAAUGAAUAAGAUUCUAUCACUUCGGGUCUUCUGGAAAAUUAUUUUAUUCAUAUAAAAGACUUAAAAGACUUAAAAGGUGACAUAAUAACUUUUCCCGAUCUUAUGAUCUGAAUGAAUUAUAACAAGGAUAAACGAUAUUAUGUAUUUAGAUUUUUGACAGGUUAUAUGGCCUAAAAUGAACUGUAAGUUUAUAUAACAUGAGCUUUUAGGCCAGGGUUACUUAGCAAACUAUUAUUUAUACAUGAUCAUAUAACUAGGCAAAAGUCUUAAUUACAAAAUUAUAAUGCUGCACAAUUAUUGGCUUUCUUUUAUUUGAAUGAAAAUUAAUGAAUAAAUUUACAGCAGCUGUGGAUAUAGAUGAUAUAAACUACAAUAUUGUUCAAUGAAAAUUUAUGUUACAAACGUGCAGUAUUAUAAAAAAAUAUCUCUGGUAUAUUAUAUGUUGUUUCUGUACUUAUUUUAACACUGUCCCCUGUUUAAAUGAUUGGAAAUGCCAUACAGUUUGAGUGAAUAAAGAUUGCGUCUAAAAAAUG
This is a long non-coding RNA of Ruditapes philippinarum (Manila clam), 1314 nucleotides long. RefSeq lists it as uncharacterized. The record is from RefSeq and is a predicted model, not a curated record. Lineage: Eukaryota; Metazoa; Mollusca; Bivalvia; Venerida; Veneridae. The transcript is spliced from 2 exons.